ACUCCUACGGGAGGCAGCAGUGGGGAAUAUUGGACAAUGGGCGCAAGCCUGAUCCAGCCAUGCCGCGUGAGUGAUGAAGGCCCUAGGGUUGUAAAGCUCUUUCACCGGUGAAGAUAAUGACGGUAACCGGAGAAGAAGCCCCGGCUAACUUCGUGCCAGCAGCCGCGGUAAUACGAAGGGGGCUAGCGUUGUUCGGAUUUACUGGGCGUAAAGCGCACGUAGGCGGACUAUUAAGUCAGGGGUGAAAUCCCUGGGCUCAACCCCGGAACUGCCUUUGAUACUGGUAGUCUUGAGUUCGAGAGAGGUGAGUGGAAUUCCGAGUGUAGAGGUGAAAUUCGUAGAUAUUCGGAGGAACACCAGUGGCGAAGGCGGCUCACUGGCUCGAUACUGACGCUGAGGUGCGAAAGCGUGGGGAGCAAACAGGAUUAGAAACCCGUGUAGUCCC
Molecule: ribosomal RNA, 445 nt
Filed under: uncultured organism
Description: partial 16S ribosomal RNA
Rfam family: Bacterial small subunit ribosomal RNA
Source: RNAcentral